GGCAGCCCUGCCCUGGGCCUCAGUGGGGUCAGUGACUGACAGGAAUAAAAGGGCUGUAACUGCAAGGACUGCAGCUCCCUGAGCGGGACAGCGUUGCUGGACCCACAGAAUGGUAGAAAAAGGAGUUACAAGUGAAGGCUGGUGGUUGCCAGAUGACCCUACAGGCUAAAAUAGUUGGAAGAGCAAGUAUACUGAAGAGAUUAAUAUGACUCUGAAGUAGCAUCUCUAGUUCACUGGCAGGUCACACUUGCAUCACAGCCGUGAAGUGUCUCCCAGACCGAUCCUUGUGGAGCAGAUCCAGAGAUUCCAGUCCACCUGCAGUGUAGCUGUGCUCAGAGGACAGAGUGCUCAAGCCAUUCCUGGCAUCAAAAGAAUGUCCUUGAGAAAAAGUCAGGCCUAUUGACUCCUAAGCAUAUUAUUUGACUUGCUGUUCAAGUAGUCUGAAGAAAGAGCUGGAAAUAAUGAAAGACACUGCAAUGUGGAGCUGCCUUAACUGACAGUGUCAGGUGGGUCGAAGCUAUUGAACAGUUCCUAUUAAAUUAGCUUACCUUCAUCUCGGCUAGUUAAAGCUGGCAUGCUGACAAAUUAGUUGCAUUCUGUAUAUAAAAGAGGAGAGGCAGGAUGAGAUUCCCAUUUUGUAGCUUAGUGACAGUAGAUAUGUCACAUCACAAGGUCAAUAACAAUCUGUCCAUGGAAGAAAUGUAAAUGUUUGGCUGAUGUCAAUACAUUCUGGAUUAGAUUGUGAAAUAUUCAUUCCUAGAGCAGAUGAGCUCAUUUGCACUAAUAAAGACCACUUUAUUCCAACCCAGUUAAUUACAAUGCUUUAUAUUGUCUGUUUCAAAAUCUGAUUACAGCUUUUCUUUAGCUUUUCCAAUAUUAGCUCUUGCGCAUUCUAUAUGCUAUUUCUAUCCAAAGAGUGUUAAUAGAGAAAGUUAACAGACAUGCUUAGAAUGUGGAAAAGCUUAGGGGUUUAUUUAUUUAUUUUUGUUCAUCAGAACAGAUGGAUUUUACAGUUUUCUUUAGAGGGAGAUUCUGAGUCUGUCAUAAAUUGUGUUUUAAGUUCAAACAGAAAGCAUUCUGGUUAGUUGGUUGUUGUAGGUAUACGUUUUCUUGUAUGGUGGUUGGUUGCUGUAUAUGUAGAAUAUCCCAUGCAACUAACUCAGAUUUUAGGAAUAAAAAAAGAUGUAAGAGUGUUAAAGUGUUUGAUCACAGUGUUCUGCCCAUAAUAAGUUUUCAUAACUUUAAUACCUUCUCAGCAAUAUGGUAAGAUUUGGGGAUACUUUUUUGCUCCUCUUGAUGCAUGCAGUUCAAAGUCCUUCCUUGCUAGAUUUUGAUCCUAAAUUAUUUGCUGCCUAGAAGACUGCAUUUCAUCUUUUGGGAGCAAUCUCUGGUAAGGACAAGGUGACCUGUAUUUAAACGCUUCUAAAGUAUACUGCUAAUUAUGAUGGAGCUACCUAAUAAUGUUCUUGGUUAAGUCAAGGUUUUGUGCAUACCAGAAUGAAUGUUUUAGAUGUUUUGAAA
Long non-coding RNA from Neopsephotus bourkii (Bourke's parrot), 1521 nucleotides. RefSeq lists it as uncharacterized. NCBI's taxonomy places the organism in Eukaryota, Metazoa, Chordata, Aves, Psittaciformes, Psittacidae. The transcript has 4 exons. The record is from RefSeq and is a predicted model, not a curated record.